Small nuclear RNA from Sorex fumeus (smoky shrew), 157 nucleotides. RefSeq annotates it as U1 spliceosomal RNA. Lineage: Eukaryota; Metazoa; Chordata; Mammalia; Eulipotyphla; Soricidae. The transcript has a single exon. The record is from RefSeq and is a predicted model, not a curated record.
AUACUUACUUGGCAAGGCAGAUACCACUGUCAUUAAGGUAGUUUUCCCAAUUGUUCAGCGUAUCCAUUGCACUCUAGAUGUGCUGAUCCCUGAGAUUUCUCCAAAUGUUGGAAACUUGACUGCAUAAUUUAUGAUAGUGGGGGAAUGCAUUCCUCUU